This 439-nucleotide ribosomal RNA is filed under the name uncultured Tissierella sp. RNAcentral's name for it is "bacterial SSU rRNA". It matches the Rfam family "Bacterial small subunit ribosomal RNA", at positions 338 to 795 of the family's 1533-position model. The record is from RNAcentral. Lineage: Bacteria; Bacillati; Bacillota; Tissierellia; Tissierellales; Tissierellaceae.
CCUACGGGGGGCUGCAGUGGGGAAUAUUGCACAAUGGAGGAAACUCUGAUGCAGCGACGCCGCGUGAACGAUGAAGGCCUUCGGGUCGUAAAGUUCUGUCCUAGGGGACGAUAAUGACGGUACCCUAGGAGGAAGCCCCGGCUAACUACGUGCCAGCAGCCGCGGUAAUACGUAGGGGGCGAGCGUUGUCCGGAAUUAUUGGGCGUAAAGGGUUCGUAGGCGGUAAUUUAAGUCAGAUGUGAAAGGCGCAGGCUCAACCUGUGUAAGCAUUUGAAACUGGAUUACUUGAGUUAAGGAGAGGAAAGUGGAAUUCCUAGUGUAGCGGUGAAAUGCGUAGAUAUUAGGAGGAAUACCAGUGGCGAAGGCGACUUUCUGGACUUAUACUGACGCUGAGGAACGAAAGCGUGGGGAGCAAACAGGCUUAGAUACCCUAGUAGUC